This 800-nucleotide ribosomal RNA is filed under the name Bacillus tequilensis. RNAcentral describes it as "bacterial SSU rRNA". It matches the Rfam family "Bacterial small subunit ribosomal RNA", at positions 42 to 824 of the family's 1533-position model. The record is from RNAcentral. Lineage: Bacteria; Bacillati; Bacillota; Bacilli; Caryophanales; Bacillaceae.
GCGUGCCUAAUACAUGCAAGUCGAGCGGACAGAUGGGAGCUUGCUCCCUGAUGUUAGCGGCGGACGGGUGAGUAACACGUGGGUAACCUGCCUGUAAGACUGGGAUAACUCCGGGAAACCGGGGCUAAUACCGGAUGGUUGUUUGAACCGCAUGGUUCAAACAUAAAAGGUGGCUUCGGCUACCACUUACAGAUGGACCCGCGGCGCAUUAGCUAGUUGGUGAGGUAACGGCUCACCAAGGCAACGAUGCGUAGCCGACCUGAGAGGGUGAUCGGCCACACUGGGACUGAGACACGGCCCAGACUCCUACGGGAGGCAGCAGUAGGGAAUCUUCCGCAAUGGACGAAAGUCUGACGGAGCAACGCCGCGUGAGUGAUGAAGGUUUUCGGAUCGUAAAGCUCUGUUGUUAGGGAAGAACAAGUACCGUUCGAAUAGGGCGGUACCUUGACGGUACCUAACCAGAAAGCCACGGCUAACUACGUGCCAGCAGCCGCGGUAAUACGUAGGUGGCAAGCGUUGUCCGGAAUUAUUGGGCGUAAAGGGCUCGCAGGCGGUUUCUUAAGUCUGAUGUGAAAGCCCCCGGCUCAACCGGGGAGGGUCAUUGGAAACUGGGGAACUUGAGUGCAGAAGAGGAGAGUGGAAUUCCACGUGUAGCGGUGAAAUGCGUAGAGAUGUGGAGGAACACCAGUGGCGAAGGCGACUCUCUGGUCUGUAACUGACGCUGAGGAGCGAAAGCGUGGGGAGCGAACAGGAUUAGAUACCCUGGUAGUCCACGCCGUAAACGAUGAGUGCUAAGUGUU